UACAGAGGUCCCGAGCGUUGUUCGGAUUUAUUGGGCGUAAAGGGUGCGUAGGCGGCGGAGUAAGUUGGGUGUGAAAUCCCGAGGCUCAACCUCGGAAUUGCAUUCAAUACUGCUUCGCUCGAGUACUGGAGAGGAGGCUGGAAUUUACGGUGUAGCAGUGAAAUGCGUAGAUAUCGUAAGGAAGGCCGGUGGCGAAAGCGAGCCUCUGGACAGUUACUGACGCUGAGGCGCGAAAGCGUGGGGAGCAAACAGG
RNAcentral lists this ribosomal RNA (253 nucleotides) under uncultured bacterium. Its description in RNAcentral is "partial 16S ribosomal RNA". It matches the Rfam family "Bacterial small subunit ribosomal RNA", at positions 524 to 776 of the family's 1533-position model. The record is from RNAcentral.